CAGAGGGUGCGAGCGUUAAUCGGAAUUACUGGGCGUAAAGCGCACGUAGGUGGCUUAGUAAGUCGGAUGUGAAAUCCCCAGGCUUAACCUGGGAACUGCAUUCGAAACUGCUUUGCUAGAGUAUGGGAGAGGGCAGUGGAAUUUCAGGUGUAGCGGUGAAAUGCGUAGAUAUCUGAAGGAACAUCAGUGGCGAAAGCGACUGCCUGGACCAAUACUGACGCUCAUGUGCGAAAGCGUGGGGAGCAAACAGGAUUAGAUACCCUGGUAGUCCACGCCAUAAACGAUGGCAACUGGAUGUCGGGAGGGUUAGCCUCUCGGUGUCGUAGCUAACGCGUUAAGUUGUCCGCCUGGGGAGUACGGCCGCAAGGUUG
This 371-nucleotide ribosomal RNA is filed under the name uncultured organism. RNAcentral describes it as "bacterial SSU rRNA". It matches the Rfam family "Bacterial small subunit ribosomal RNA", at positions 526 to 896 of the family's 1533-position model. The record is from RNAcentral.